This 718-nucleotide ribosomal RNA is filed under the name uncultured bacterium. RNAcentral's name for it is "bacterial SSU rRNA". It matches the Rfam family "Bacterial small subunit ribosomal RNA", at positions 11 to 716 of the family's 1533-position model. The record is from RNAcentral.
GUUUGAUCCUGGCUCAGGAUGAACGCUAGCUACAGGCUUAACACAUGCAAGUCGAGGGGAAACGAUAUUGAAAGCUUGCUUUCGAUAGGCGUCGACCGGCGCACGGGUGAGUAACGCGUAUCCAACCUGCCCAUAACUAAGGGAUAAUCCGUAGAAAUGCGGUCUAAUACCUUAUGUGUUCCGAGGAAGACAUCUGAUUUGGAUUAAAGAUUUAUCGGUUAUGGAUGGGGAUGCGUCUGAUUAGAUUGUUGGCGGGGCAACGGCCCACCAAGUCUGCGAUCAGUAGGGGUUCUGAGAGGAAGGUCCCCCACAUUGGAACUGAGACACGGUCCAAACUCCUACGGGAGGCAGCAGUGAGGAAUAUUGGUCAAUGGGCGGGAGCCUGAACCAGCCAAGUAGCGUGCAGGAUGACGGCCCUAUGGGUUGUAAACUGCUUUUGUAUGGGGAUAAAUUGCUCCACGUGUGGAGUAUUGCAGGUACCAUACGAAUAAGGACCGGCUAAUUCCGUGCCAGCAGCCGCGGUAAUACGGAAGGUCCGGGCGUUAUCCGGAUUUAUUGGGUUUAAAGGGAGCGUAGGCCGUGGAUUAAGUGUGUUGUGAAAUGUAGGCGCUCAACGUCUGACUUGCAGCGCAUACUGGNCCACUAGAGUGCGCGCAACGCGGGCGGAAUUUGUCGUGUAGCGGUGAAAUGCUUAGAUAUGACGAAGAACCCCGAUUGC